RNAcentral lists this ribosomal RNA (301 nucleotides) under uncultured bacterium. RNAcentral describes it as "partial 16S ribosomal RNA". It matches the Rfam family "Bacterial small subunit ribosomal RNA", at positions 509 to 807 of the family's 1533-position model. The record is from RNAcentral.
CAGCAGCCACGGGAAUACGAAGGGUGCAAGCGUUAAUCGGAAUUACUGAGCGUAAAGCGUGCGCAGGCGGUUUGUUAAGACAGAUGUGAAAUCCCCGGGCUCAACCUGGGAACUGCAUUUGUGACUGGCAAGCUAGAGUGUGGCAGAGGGGGGUGGAAUUCCGCGUGUAGCAGUGAAAUGCGUAGAUAUGCGGAGGAACACCGAUGGCGAAGGCAGCCCCCUGGGCCAACACUGACGCUCAUGCACGAAAGCGUGGGGAGCAAACAGGAUUAGAUACCCCAGUAGUCCCUGUCUCUUAUAC